RNAcentral lists this unclassified non-coding RNA (313 nucleotides) under plant metagenome. Its description in RNAcentral is "partial contains 5.8S ribosomal RNA, internal transcribed spacer 2, and large subunit ribosomal RNA". The stretch from base 1 to 104 matches the Rfam family "5.8S ribosomal RNA", at positions 51 to 154 of the family's 154-position model. The record is from RNAcentral.
AAAUGCGAUAAUUAAUGUGAAUCGCAGAAUUCAGUGAAUCAUCGAGUCUUUGAACGCACAUUGCGCCCCCUGGUAUUCCGGGGGGCAUGCCUGUCCGAGCGUCAUUGCUGCCCUCAAGCACGGCUUGUGUGUUGGGCUUCCGUCCCUGGCAACGGGGACGGGCCCAAAAGGCAGUGGCGGCACCAUGUCUGGUCCUCGAGCGUAUGGGGCUUUGUCACCCGCUCCCGUAGGUCCAGCUGGCAGCUAGCCUCGCAACCAAUCUUUUUAACCAGGUUGACCUCGGAUCAGGUAGGGAUACCCGCUGAACUUAAGC